CUGCCUGAGGGAAAAGAGACAUUAAAAAGACAGGGGUGUGGGGACAACUGAUGCACACAUGCAAGAGAAUGGGGUCCUGCCUCACGCCGUAUACAUAAAGGUAAUUCAAGAUGGCUCACAGACCUAAAACUGUGAAGCUUGGAAGGGAACGGCUGUAAGAGGAAGAUAUCCACGCCGUUCUCACAAGUGAUUCCUGUUAGUAGCACCUGCCUAGGGCCUUGUUUAAGGAUAAACCUGAGGACGUCCAGCGUUGACAGGUUCAACAGAAGCAGGCCUUUGAAAGGAUGCAAGGCCGGUGAAGGUGUUGUGAAAAUAGGAGUCUGAUGAAAGGAUCGGAUCCUGGUGGCCUAGGACGUCUCAAGGGCCCAGCCACAGCAGGAGGAGAAAGACCAGCCACAUGGCUUCAGGCUCAGCAGAAGUGCCUCAGAGAUCAAGGCCCAGCUUCAACAGCCACCCACUUGAGAGAGCUCGCCAGGUGUCCGCACACAGAGGAGGAGCCAGAUGACACCUGGUAAUUGGCAAAGAUGCCGUGUGGCACAGAGUGAAGACCAGCUGAGGCACCCAGCCUUGUGGAUGGAACAACUACCAUAUUCCUGACCUUUCCAUCAGGAGACAGCCCAUGUUGGACUAGCCAGACCAC
Peromyscus maniculatus bairdii (prairie deer mouse) is the source of this 640-nucleotide non-coding RNA. The record is from RefSeq and is a predicted model, not a curated record. Lineage: Eukaryota; Metazoa; Chordata; Mammalia; Rodentia; Cricetidae.